GAUGAACGCUGGCGGCGUGCCUAAUACAUGCAAGUCGAGCGAACGGACGAGAAGCUUGCUUCUCUGAUGUUAGCGGCGGACGGGUGAGUAACACGUGGAUAACCUACCUAUAAGACUGGGAUAACUUCGGGAAACCGUAGCUAAUACCGGAUAAUAUUUUGAACCGCAUGGUUCAAAAGUGAAAGACGGUCUUGCUGCCACUUAUAGAUGGAUCCGCGCUGCAUUAGCUAGUUGGUAAGGUAACGGCUUACCAAGGCAACGAUGCAUAGCCGACCUGAGAGGGUGAUCGGCCACACUGGAACUGAGACACGGUCCAGACUCCUACGGGAGGCAGCAGUAGGGAAUCUUACGCAAUGGGCGAAAGCCUGACGGAGCAACGCCGCGUGAGUGAUGAAGGUCUUCGGAUCGUAAAACUCUGUUAUUAGGGAAGAACAUAUGUGUAAGUAACUGUGCACAUCUUGACGGUACCUAAUCAGAAAGCCACGGCUAACUACGUG
Molecule: ribosomal RNA, 497 nt
Filed under: uncultured bacterium
Lineage: Bacteria
Description: partial 16S ribosomal RNA
Rfam family: Bacterial small subunit ribosomal RNA
Source: RNAcentral